Molecule: long non-coding RNA, 271 nt
Organism: Scaptodrosophila lebanonensis
Lineage: Eukaryota; Metazoa; Arthropoda; Insecta; Diptera; Drosophilidae
Exons: 2
Source: RefSeq, a predicted model, not a curated record
UCAUAAAAGCUGCCAUCUGACAAAAUAAUAAGCUAGUUAGUUAGAUUAAAAAUGAGAACGCUAUCAAGACUGGCAUUACUGUUUCUCGCUCUCAUAUCUUUAUUUCCAAAGCGCUACGAUUUUCAAUCUGACCUAUCUCAAAGAUUUCGACCGGCUUGUUGUAGAAUUGGGUGUUUUCAUCCAAACUGCAAUAUUCCACCACGAUAGGAUGAGGAUGUGUUAAAAAUACAUAAGAUUUUAGAAUUUAUUUGAUUAAAAUGAUGAACAUUUA